RNAcentral lists this ribosomal RNA (1473 nucleotides) under Triticum aestivum (bread wheat). RNAcentral describes it as "partial small subunit ribosomal RNA". The record is from RNAcentral. Lineage: Eukaryota; Viridiplantae; Streptophyta; Magnoliopsida; Poales; Poaceae.
AUGGGGGCUCGCUGCUCCAAGCUCUCCGCCUGCUGGUGGCCGCCGCACUUCAAAUCCCCCCGCCUCGAGAACGGCGCCGCCGGGGAGGACGGCAGCGGCGUGCCGGUGUUCGCCGAGUACAGCCUCGACGAGCUCCGCGCCGCCACCGACGGCUUCGCCGCGGACCGCAUCGUCUCCGAGCACGGCGAGAAGGCGCCCAACGUCGUCUACCGCGGCACCCUCUUCAGCUCCGGCGCCACCGUCGCCAUCAAGCGCUUCGGCCGCUCCGCCUGGCCCGACGCGCGCCAGUUCGUGGAGGAGGCUAGGGCCGUUGGGCUGCUGCGGAGCGGUCGCCUGUCCAACCUCAUCGGCUGCUGCUGCGAGGGCGGCGAGCGGCUGCUCGUUGCUGAGUUCAUGCCGCAUGAUACCUUGGCAAAGCAUCUGUUCCACUGGGAGACCAAACCGUUGAGCUGGGCAAUGAGGGUGCGAGCUGCACUCUAUGUGGCCCAAGCACUGGAGUACUGCACCCUCAAAGGGAGGGCUCUCUACCAUGACCUGCAUGCAUACAGGGUCCUCUUUGAUGUGGAUGGCAACCCUAGGUUGUCAUGUUUUGGUUUGAUGAAGAACAGCAGAGAUGGGAAAAGCUACAGUACUAAUUUGGCUUUCACACCUCCUGAGUACCUUAAGACAGGUAGAGUAAUCCCUGAGAGUGUGGUCUACAGCUUCGGUACCAUCUUGCUUGACCUCCUAAGUGGGAAGCACAUUCCACCAAGCCAUGCGCUUGACCUUAUCAGAGGAAGGAACAUCACCGUGCUCAUGGAUUCUUGCUUGGAUGGUCACGUCUCCAGUUCUGAUGGAACAGAAAUGGUGCGGUUAGCAUCACGCUGCUUGCAAUAUGAAGCUCGCGACCGGCCAAACCUGAAAGCAGUAGUGUCUGCUCUUGCAAGCCUUCAAAAAGACGCUUCUGCUCCUUCACAUACUUUACUGGGCAUCUCACAGGACGCUGUCAAGGAGAAUGCAGAGCAAGUUUCAUUUUCUGCUACUGAGAAAGCUUAUGCGACAGCAGACCUUGAGCAGGUGCAUGAGUUGCUGGAAAAUGAGGGAUAUGAUGAGGAUGAGACAGCAAGUUUUAAUGUGUCUUUAAGCUCGUGGCCUGGCCAACCAUCUGAGAGUAUUCAGGUCAAGAAGAAUGGAGACGACGCUUUUCAAUCCAAAGAUUUUACGACUGUGCUGGAGUGUUACUCAAGGUUUAUCGAUACCGGUGCAAUGGAGUCUCCGACCAUGCUAGUGCGGCGAGGCUUCGCAAACGUGGUGCUUGGCAGGAUGGAGGAUGCCCUUGAGGACGCAAGGAGAGCAGAGGGGAUAUCACCCGAGUGGCCGACGGCGCACUACCUGCAAGGGAUGGCGCUCAUCGGGCUCGGCAUGGAGCUCGACGGCCACGAGAAGCUAAGGAUAGCCGCCUCCUUGGAAGCCCAGAGAACCGGUAGGAACUAG